Molecule: long non-coding RNA, 558 nt
Organism: Agrilus planipennis (emerald ash borer)
Lineage: Eukaryota; Metazoa; Arthropoda; Insecta; Coleoptera; Buprestidae
Exons: 3
Source: RefSeq, a predicted model, not a curated record
UACGAAAAUUGUCGGGUGAGUGCGAACUAGCUCCUGACGUCAUAAAAUUAAUCUCCAGCAAUUCGAUGUUUACAUUAGAUAUGUAUAAAUUAUCAUCCCACACCAGCCGCAUCUACUGAGCAAUUACCCGAACUUGCGUUGAAGCUCUUGUCUGGUAAAGACUUCUUCUCCAAUAAGCGUAGUCGUGCUUAAGACAAUCGCAAUCACGCAGAAUCACUAGUACAUUUCCGACGUGUGUGUGCUCGACCUACAACGAUGUACAGCCAUUUAUUACAUGUAGUUGCGUGUUUGAUUAUUCCUAUAGACGAUAUAGAAAUACAUUUGCAACGCCUGUGUUCGUGCUAUGGUGUUUGUCGAUCAAAUAAACCAACUCAAUCUAUGUGUUUCAUCCAUCAAGGCAUAUUUUGUGCUUGAGAAAGAUUGUCCAGUCAGUUCGUAGGCGUCAAGAAAAUUACCAACUUCUGCUAAAGAAUUCCACGGCCUGUAUGGAUUGGUUUCCAGUUAGUAUCUCCGUCGAAGAUCAUCAACAACGAACAGGGAAACGCUUGGAGAUGAAAG